This is a non-coding RNA of Odocoileus virginianus texanus, 1221 nucleotides long. Lineage: Eukaryota; Metazoa; Chordata; Mammalia; Artiodactyla; Cervidae. The record is from RefSeq and is a predicted model, not a curated record.
CCGGGGCUCCACCCCCCUCCCCACGGCGCUGCUCUGGGCUGGAGCUUCAGAUCCGGCCCUCGGGCGAUAGUUGGAUUCAGGAUGGCGUCGGACUCGGAGGACCGCGGGACUGCCUGCACGCUGGAGUUCGCGGUGCAAAUGACCUGUCAGAGCUGCGUGGACGCGGUGCGCACGUCUCUGCAAGGGAUCGCAGGCGUCCAAAGUGUGGAGGUGCAGUUGGAGAACCAGAUGGUCCUGGUGCAGACCACCCUGCCCAGCCAGGAGGUGCAGGCCCUUCUAGAAGGCACUGGGAGGCAGGCGGUCCUCAAGGGCAUGGGCAGUGGCCUGUUGCAGAAUUUAGGGGCAGCCGUGGCCAUUCUCGGGGGGCCUGGCCCUGUGCAGGGAGUGGUGCGCUUCCUGCAGCUGACCCCUGAGCGCUGCCUAAUCGAGGGGACCAUUGAUGGCCUGCAGCCUGGGCUGCAUGGACUCCACAUCCAUCAGUUCGGGGACCUCACGAGGAACUGCAACAGCUGUGGGGACCACUUUAACCCUGAUGGAAUGUCCCAUGGGGGCCCCCAGGACUCUGAACGGCCUGGUGAGGGAGACACUCAGAACUCCGUGGUUGCAGCACAGCCAGAGCAUCUUUGCAGGAGCCUCCGGGAGGCCCUGGGAACCCAGAGCAAGCUCCAGAUCCAGUCCGAAGGGCACAGGCAGUGGGAGAGAGCUUCCCAGAGAAGCACCGCGGAGACCUGGGGAAUGUCCAUGCCGAUGAGGAUGGCCGAGCUGUCUUCAGGAUUGAGGACGAGCAACUGAAGGUGUGGGAUGUGAUUGGCCGAAGCCUGGUCGUUGAUGAGGGAGAAGAUGACCUGGGCCGGGGCGGGCAUCCCUUGUCCAAGAUCACAGGGAACUCGGGAGAGAGGUUGGCCUGUGGCAUCAUCGCACGCGCCGCUGGCCUUUUCCAGAACCCAAAGCAGAUCUGCUCCUGUGAUGGCCUCACCAUCUGGGAGGAGCGGGGCCGGCCCAUCGCUGGUCAGGGACGGAAGGAGCCCGCCCAGCCCCCUGCCCACCUCUGAGCACGGCCUCUGCCUUGGGUCUGUCACUGUCCUCCCUGCUGAGCACCGUCCACUUCCAGAGGGAGGCCCUGCUCACCCAGUCCUGGAGAACCAGUGUGCGGGCUGUGUUUCUUCUCAAAGGGUUGCUUGCUCUUCUCUUGGCAAAUUAAAGUUUUAUUUUCACAUGGAA